Molecule: ribosomal RNA, 479 nt
Filed under: uncultured bacterium
Lineage: Bacteria
Description: partial 16S ribosomal RNA
Rfam family: Bacterial small subunit ribosomal RNA
Source: RNAcentral
UGGGGAAUAUUGGACAAUGGGGGCAACCCUGAUCCAGCAAUGCCGCGUGUGUGAAGAAGGUCUUCGGAUUGUAAAGCACUUUCGACGGGGACGAUGAUGACGGUACCCGUAGAAGAAGCCCCGGCUAACUUCGUGCCAGCAGCCGCGGUAAUACGAAGGGGGCUAGCGUUGCUCGGAAUGACUGGGCGUAAAGGGCGUGUAGGCGGUUUACACAGUCAGAUGUGAAAUCCCCCGGGCUUAACCUGGGAGCUGCAUUUGAUACGUGUAGACUAGAGUGUGAGAGAGGGUUUGUGGAAUUCCCAGUGUAGAGGUGAAAUUCGUAGAUAUUGGGAAGAACACCGGUGGCGAAGGCGGCAACCUGGCUCAUGACUGACGCUGAGGCGCGAAAGCGUGGGGAGCAAACAGGUUAGAUACCCUGGUAGUCCACGCUGUAAACGAUGCGUGCUAGAUGUUGGGUAACUUUGUUAUUCAGUGUCGCA